Molecule: long non-coding RNA, 273 nt
Organism: Orcinus orca (killer whale)
Lineage: Eukaryota; Metazoa; Chordata; Mammalia; Artiodactyla; Delphinidae
Exons: 3
Source: RefSeq, a predicted model, not a curated record
GUGAUUGGGCAUUUACUGGAAAGGCAGGGAAGGAAGAGCAACGUCUCAUGUGAUUAGAAAGCGCCGUGCACACAGACUGUGUUCUCCUGGGGGAUGGGGCCAUCUCAAGCAGCUUGAUUUCAGAAAUCAUUCACUCUAUUUGACAAGGAGGUACAUGGAGAUAAGGUGAGGUGAAGGUUCCGGUUGCAGGGCACCCAGCAGAAGAGGAGAAGAAUGGAGGAAACAACCAAGAACAGUAAGUCCCCUACAUACAAACCUUCAAGUUGCGAAAUU